AGACGUCUACAUUAGAUACCCGGGUAGUCCCAGCCGUAAACUAUGCGCGUUAGGUGUAUCGGUGACCACGAGUUACCGAGGUGCCGAAGGGAAACCGUGAAACGUGCCGCCUGGGAAGUACGGUCGCAAGGCUGAAACUUAAAGGAAUUGGCGGGGGAAGCACCACAACAGGUGGAGCCUGCGGUUUAAUUGGACUCAACGCCGGGAAGCUCACCGGAUAGGACAGCAGAAUGAUUGCCGGGCUGAAGACCCUGCAUGACUAGCUG
Molecule: ribosomal RNA, 266 nt
Filed under: uncultured archaeon
Lineage: Archaea
Description: partial 16S ribosomal RNA
Rfam family: Archaeal small subunit ribosomal RNA
Source: RNAcentral